RNAcentral lists this ribosomal RNA (510 nucleotides) under uncultured bacterium. RNAcentral describes it as "bacterial SSU rRNA". It matches the Rfam family "Bacterial small subunit ribosomal RNA", at positions 791 to 1304 of the family's 1533-position model. The record is from RNAcentral.
UAGUCCACGCUGUAAACGAUGAGAACUAGCUGUUGGGUAUUAAUAUUUAGUGGCGCAGUUAACGCGAUAAGUUCUCCGCCUGGGGAGUGCGGCCGCAAGGUUAAAACUCAAAUGAAUUGACGGGGGCCCGCACAAGCGGUGGAGCAGGUGGUUUAAUUCGAAGUAACGCGCAGAACCUUACCAGCCUUUGACAUCCUAGGACGGUUUCUGGAGACAGACUCCUUCCCUUCGGGGACCUAGUGACAGGUGCUGCAUGGCUGUCGUCAGCUCGUGUCGUGAGAUGUUGGGUUAAGUCCCGCAACGAGCGCAACCCUCAUCCUUAGUUGCCAUCAUUUAGUUGGGCACUUUAAGGAAACUGCCGGUGAUAAGCCGGAGGAAGGUGGGGAUGACGUCAAGUCCUCAUGGCCCUUACAGGCUGGGCUACACACGUGCUACAAUGGUAUCUACAGUGAGCAGCGAUCCCGCAAGGGUUAGCUAAUCCCCAAAAGAUAUCUCAGUUCGGAUUGUUCU